GUCUUUUUGUAUUUAUAAAAAGUCUAACCUGCCCACUGAAAAUUUAAAUGGCCGCAGUAUUUUAACUGUGCAAAGGUAGCAUAAUCAUUAGUUUUUUAAUUGAAAACUAGAAUGAAUGGUUGGACGAAAAAUUAACUGUUUCAUAAAAAUUUAUAGAAUUUUAUUUUUUAGUAAAAAAGCUAAAAUUAAUAUAAAAGACGAGAAGACCCUAUAAAUCUUUAUAAUUAAUAUUUAUUAAAGUUUUAUUGAUUUAUUUUAUUUUAUUAAAUUAUAUUAUUUUAUUGGGGUGAUAUUAAAAUUUAAAAAACUUUUAAUAUAUUUAAGUUCAUUAAUUUAUGAUUUAUUGAUCCAUUAUUAUUGAUUAAAAGACAAAGUUACUUUAGGGAUAACAGCGUUAUUUUUUUGAAGAGUUCAUAUCGAUAAAAAAGAUUGCGACCUCGAUGUUGGAUUAAGAUAAAUUUUAGGUGUAGUUGCUUAAAUUUUAAGUCUGUUCGACUUUUAAAUUCUUACAUGAUCUGAGUUCAAACCGG
This 530-nucleotide ribosomal RNA is filed under the name Ceromya glaucescens. RNAcentral describes it as "partial 16S rRNA". The stretch from base 385 to 530 matches the Rfam family "Bacterial large subunit ribosomal RNA", at positions 2473 to 2619 of the family's 2925-position model. Lineage: Eukaryota; Metazoa; Arthropoda; Insecta; Diptera; Tachinidae. The record is from RNAcentral.